Molecule: ribosomal RNA, 854 nt
Filed under: Lactobacillus sp. 8504
Lineage: Bacteria; Bacillati; Bacillota; Bacilli; Lactobacillales; Lactobacillaceae
Description: bacterial SSU rRNA
Rfam family: Bacterial small subunit ribosomal RNA
Source: RNAcentral
UUGAUCGCGCUAUCUGCAGUCGACGAACUCUGGUAUUGAUUGGUGCUUGCAUCAUGAUUUACAUUUGAGUGAGUGGCGAACUGGUGAGUAACACGUGGGAAACCUGCCCAGAAGCGGGGGAUAACACCUGGAAACAGAUGCUAAUACCGCAUAACAACUUGGACCGCAUGGUCCGAGCUUGAAAGAUGGCUUCGGCUAUCACUUUUGGAUGGUCCCGCGGCGUAUUAGCUAGAUGGUGGGGUAACGGCUCACCAUGGCAAUGAUACGUAGCCGACCUGAGAGGGUAAUCGGCCACAUUGGGACUGAGACACGGCCCAAACUCCUACGGGAGGCAGCAGUAGGGAAUCUUCCACAAUGGACGAAAGUCUGAUGGAGCAACGCCGCGUGAGUGAAGAAGGGUUUCGGCUCGUAAAACUCUGUUGUUAAAGAAGAACAUAUCUGAGAGUAACUGUUCAGGUAUUGACGGUAUUUAACCAGAAAGCCACGGCUAACUACGUGCCAGCAGCCGCGGUAAUACGUAGGUGGCAAGCGUUGUCCGGAUUUAUUGGGCGUAAAGCGAGCGCAGGCGGUUUUUUAAGUCUGAUGUGAAAGCCUUCGGCUCAACCGAAGAAGUGCAUCGGAAACUGGGAAACUUGAGUGCAGAAGAGGACAGUGGAACUCCAUGUGUAGCGGUGAAAUGCGUAGAUAUAUGGAAGAACACCAGUGGCGAAGGCGGCUGUCUGGUCUGUAACUGACGCUGAGGCUCGAAAGUAUGGGUAGCAAACAGGAUUAGAUACCCUGGUAGUCCAUACCGUAAACGAUGAAUGCUAAGUGUUGGAGGGUUUCCGCCCUUCAGUGCUGCAGCUAACGCAUUA